RNAcentral lists this ribosomal RNA (529 nucleotides) under uncultured eukaryote. RNAcentral's name for it is "SSU rRNA". It matches the Rfam family "Eukaryotic small subunit ribosomal RNA", at positions 619 to 1153 of the family's 1831-position model. The record is from RNAcentral.
UUAAAAAACGCUCGUAGUUGGAUAUUUGUUGAGAACUGCCGGUCUACCCCAGUGGUCAGCACACGGUCUGUCCUCGGCACUUUCCUGGGGAGAGUGUUUGCACUUCACUGUGUGGCACAUGAUCCAGAACUUUUACUUUGAGGAAAUGAGAGUGUUUCAAGCAGGCGCCUGUCGUGAAUACGUUAGCAUGGAAUAAUAGCAUGGGACCGCGGUCUGAAGCUGUUGGUUUUUGGGCCGUGGUAAUGAAAAUAGGGAUAGUUGGGGGUAUUCGUAUUUAACUGUCAGAGGUGAAAUUCUUGGAUUUUUUAAAGACGGACUACUGCGAAAGCAUCUGCCCAGGAUGUUUUUAUUGAUCAGGAACGAAAGUAGGGGAUCGAAGACGAUCAGAUACCGUCCUAGUCUUAACCAUAAACCAUGCCGACUAGAGAUUUGGGUCGUCAGAAUCGUGACGCCCUGAGCACCUUAGGGGAAACCAAAGUCUUCGGGUUCCGGGGGGAGUAUGGUCNCAAGGCUGAAAACUUAAAGGAAU